GCGUCGAGUGGCGGACGGGUGAGUAACGCGUAGGAAUCUGCCAGAUAGUGGGGGAUAGCCCGGAGAAAUCCGGAUUAAUACCGCAUAAUCUCCAUGGAGUAAAGAGGGCCUCUAUUUAUAAGCUUUCGCUAUCUGAUGAGCCUGCGUAAGAUUAGCUAGUUGGUGGGGUAAUGGCCUACCAAGGCGACGAUCUUUAGCUGGUCUGAGAGGAUGAUCAGCCACACUGGGACUGAGACACGGCCCAGACUCCUACGGGAGGCAGCAGUGGGGAAUAUUGGACAAUGGGGGCAACCCUGAUCCAGCAAUACCGCGUGUGUGAAGAAGGCCUGAGGGUUGUAAAGCACUUUCAAUUGUGAAGAAAAGUUAAUAGUUAAUACCUAUUAGCCUUGACGUUAACUUUAGAAGAAGCACCGGCUAACUCCGUGCCAGCAGCCGCGGUAAUACGGAGGGUGCAAGCGUUAAUCGGAAUUACUGGGCGUAAAGCGUGCGUAGGCGGUUGACUAAGUCAGAUGUGAAAGCCCCGGGCUUAACCUGGGAACUGCAUUUGAAACUGGUCAACUAGAGUAUGGUAGAGGAAAGUGGAAUUUCUGGUGUAGCGGUGAAAUGCGUAGAUAUCAGAAGGAACAUCGAUGGCGAAGGCAGCUUUCUGGACCAAUACUGACGCUGAG
Molecule: ribosomal RNA, 668 nt
Filed under: uncultured bacterium
Lineage: Bacteria
Description: bacterial SSU rRNA
Rfam family: Bacterial small subunit ribosomal RNA
Source: RNAcentral